This 229-nucleotide ribosomal RNA is filed under the name uncultured bacterium. Its description in RNAcentral is "partial 16S ribosomal RNA". It matches the Rfam family "Bacterial small subunit ribosomal RNA", at positions 15 to 237 of the family's 1533-position model. The record is from RNAcentral.
GAUCAUGGCUCAGGAUGAACGCUAGCGACAGGCUUAACACAUGCAAGUCGAGGGGCAGCGGGUGUAGCAAUACACCGCCGGCGUACCGGCGUCACGGGUGAGUAACGCGUAUGCAACUUGCCUAUCAGAGGGGGAUAACCCGGCGAAAGUCGGACUAAUACCGCAUGAAGCAGGGAUCCCGCAUGGGAAUAUUUGCUAAAGAUUCAUCGCUGAUAGAUAGGCAUGCGUU